RNAcentral lists this ribosomal RNA (453 nucleotides) under uncultured bacterium. RNAcentral describes it as "partial 16S ribosomal RNA". It matches the Rfam family "Bacterial small subunit ribosomal RNA", at positions 28 to 506 of the family's 1533-position model. The record is from RNAcentral.
GAUGAACGCUGACAGAAUGCUUAACACAUGCAAGUCUACUUGAACUUCGGUUUGGGUGGCGGACGGGUGAGUAACGCGUAAAGAACUUGCCUCACAGAUAGGGACAACAUUUGGAAACGAAUGCUAAUACCUGAUAUUAUGAUUUUAGGGCAUCCUAGAAUUAUGAAAGCUAUAUGCACUGUGAGAGAGCUUUGCGUCCCAUUAGCUAGUUGGAGAGGUAACGGCUCACCAAGGCGAUGAUGGGUAGCCGGCCUGAGAGGGUGAUCGGCCACAAGGGGACUGAGACACGGCCCUUACUCCUACGGGAGGCAGCAGUGGGGAAUAUUGGACAAUGGACCAAGAGUCUGAUCCAGCAAUUCUGUGUGCACGAUGAAGUUUUUCGGAAUGUAAAGUGCUUUCAGUUGGGAAGAAAAAAAUGACGGUACCAACAGAAGAAGUGACGGCUAAAUACGU